RNAcentral lists this transfer RNA (72 nucleotides) under Phrynosoma platyrhinos (Desert horned lizard). RNAcentral's name for it is "tRNA-OTHER". The record is from RNAcentral. Lineage: Eukaryota; Metazoa; Chordata; Lepidosauria; Squamata; Phrynosomatidae.
GCCAGCAUUGUGUAGUGGUUUGAGUGCUGGAUUAUGACUCUGGAGACCAGGGUUCAAUUCCCUGCUCAGACA